AAAAACGAAGAUUCUGCCUCCAAGGACACGGAGAUAAAAGAACAUGACUCGGUGGGCUGUACCGUCAAGGCAAAUAUCUAAAAUGAACAGCUUGGGACUUUAAAAUGAAGAAUAAACAACCAUUUUAUAAAUAACAAAGAAGCAUCCCAGACAAGGAACGAUCAGGAGAGAAUUGCUCCAUUGAGGAAGAGAAUGAGGUGGUGCCUAGACCAGACUGCUGAGAUGAGAGGUCUGGCCUGUCUUCUCUGUCCCCGUCUCUGGAAACUGUUUUGGGACUUUGGAUGUCUACCAGUGCCAGGAUGAAGACAAAGGUUUCUGACUUGAGGACGAAGCAGAUGGCCUGCGCUUCCCACAGAAGUGGACCUUGGCAGCUGCCAAGCUUCUUCGUGAGCCUUGACGUCUGGCUCUUAUUUCCAGUCCUGGCUCUAUCCUCUACUGUUCCAGAAGCUUUGGGAUCUGGCUGGCUUCACGGUUCCCGGCACUCGGCUCAUCUCUAGGAGGAAAUGAGGCAUCCAGCAAUGACAUAAGGCAUCUGACUUAGUUUCAAGCUCAGCUCAAUGUUUGUGCAUGAUGUCUUCGUUAGGGUUACUGUUGGUGUGACAAAGCACCAUGAUCAAAAGUAAGUUGGGAAGGAAAGGGUUUAUUAAGCUAAGGAUUACACACUAUUGUUUAUUA
RNAcentral lists this long non-coding RNA (675 nucleotides) under Mus spicilegus (steppe mouse). Its description in RNAcentral is "lncRNA (ENSMSIG00000028929.1)". The record is from RNAcentral. Lineage: Eukaryota; Metazoa; Chordata; Mammalia; Rodentia; Muridae.